This is a long non-coding RNA of Gadus morhua (Atlantic cod), 266 nucleotides long. RefSeq lists it as uncharacterized. The transcript has 3 exons. The record is from RefSeq and is a predicted model, not a curated record. NCBI's taxonomy places the organism in Eukaryota, Metazoa, Chordata, Actinopteri, Gadiformes, Gadidae.
AGUUGACAAAUUCUGCCUUUUACCUUUCAGCUACAACAUUGUUAUCUUUGGCGGCAUUGAUGGAUUUUCCCGUAAGAUAAUGUAUCUUGGUGCAGCCUCCAACAACCUAGCAUCAACUACCCUGGCUUUCUUCCAACAAUCUGUUGAGAAGUUUGGGUUUCCUCUCAGGGUACGUGGUGAUCAUGGGGUGGAAAACGUGGAUGUUGCACGACUCAUGUUUACAGUCCGUGGCACUGGGAGGAGCAGCUUUAUACCUGGGAAGAGUG